GACGAACGCUGGCGGCGUGCUUAACACAUGCAAGUCGAACGAAGAGCGAUGGAAGCUUGCUUCUAUCAAUCUUAGUGGCGAACGGGUGAGUAACGCGUAAUCAACCUGCCCUUCAGAGGGGGACAACAGUUGGAAACGACUGCUAAUACCGCAUACGAUCUAAUCUCGGCAUCGAGGAUAGAUGAAAGGUGGCCUCUACAUGUAAGCUAUCACUGAAGGAGGGGAUUGCGUCUGAUUAGCUAGUUGGAGGGGUAACGGCCCACCAAGGCGAUGAUCAGUAGCCGGUCUGAGAGGUGAACGGCCACAUUGGGACUGAGACACGGCCCAGACUCCUACGGGAGGCAGCAGUGGGGAAUCUUCCGCAAUGGACGAAAGUCUGACGGAGCAACGCCGCGUGAGUGAUGACGGCCUUCGGGUUGUAAAGCUCUGUUAAUCGGGACGAAAGGCCUUCUUGCGAAUAGUGAGAAGGAUUGACGGUACCGGAAUAGAAAGCCACGGCUAACUACGUG
RNAcentral lists this ribosomal RNA (509 nucleotides) under uncultured bacterium. RNAcentral describes it as "partial 16S ribosomal RNA". It matches the Rfam family "Bacterial small subunit ribosomal RNA", at positions 28 to 507 of the family's 1533-position model. The record is from RNAcentral.